Molecule: long non-coding RNA, 382 nt
Filed under: Gossypium raimondii (Peruvian cotton)
Lineage: Eukaryota; Viridiplantae; Streptophyta; Magnoliopsida; Malvales; Malvaceae
Description: long non-coding RNA (GRAI_LNC001261)
Source: RNAcentral
AGGAAAGAAGAUUGUAGAAUCGGAGACUGACUCUGAUGGAUACCCUUAGUUGCAUUUUUUUCAUAUUUUUAUUUUUAUGCGGAAUGUAACUAAAUAACUAGUGUACUUAUUUUUGGACGGGUUUUAGACUUGUUCUUGUUUUAUUCUUAUUUUUUUAUUUUCUUGCAUAAUUUUCUUUGUGUGUUUGUUUGUUUUUCUAUGCAGCCAUCCAUUCAAAGAUUACACUACCGUUUCGAGCUUAAAUGUGAAGGUGGACAACCCUAGCUAGUGAUCAUGAACUGUCACACCAUUCAGGGAAGUCCGAUCACCUUCUAACCUUUUGUUUGGGCCAUAAACAUUGGGGCCAAUAUGUAAUUUAAGUGUGGGGGGAUGUACAUAAUUU